Molecule: ribosomal RNA, 916 nt
Filed under: uncultured Bacteroides sp.
Lineage: Bacteria; Pseudomonadati; Bacteroidota; Bacteroidia; Bacteroidales; Bacteroidaceae
Description: bacterial SSU rRNA
Rfam family: Bacterial small subunit ribosomal RNA
Source: RNAcentral
GAGUUUGAUCCUGGCUCAGGAUGAACGCUAGCUACAGGCUUAACACAUGCAAGUCGAGGGGCAGCAUUUUAGUUUGCUUGCAAACUGAAGAUGGCGACCGGCGCACGGGUGAGUAACACGUAUCCAACCUGCCGAUAACUCUGGAAUAGCCUUUCGAAAGAAAGAUUAAUACCGGAUAGUAUACGAAUAUCGCAUGAUAUUUUUAUUAAAGAAUUUCGGUUAUCGAUGGGGAUGCGUUCCAUUAGUUUGUUGGCGGGGUAACGGCCCACCAAGACUACGAUGGAUAGGGGUUCUGAGAGGAAGGUCCCCCACAUUGGAACUGAGACACGGUCCAAACUCCUACGGGAGGCAGCAGUGAGGAAUAUUGGUCAAUGGGCGCGAGCCUGAACCAGCCAAGUAGCGUGAAGGAUGAAGGCUCUAUGGGUCGUAAACUUCUUUUAUAUGGGAAUAAAGUUUUCCACGUGUGGAAUUUUGUAUGUACCAUAUGAAUAAGGAUCGGCUAACUCCGUGCCAGCAGCCGCGGUAAUACGGAGGAUCCGAGCGUUAUCCGGAUUUAUUGGGUUUAAAGGGAGCGUAGGUGGAUGGUUAAGUCAGUUGUGAAAGUUUGCGGCUCAACCGUAAAAUUGCAGUUGAUACUGGCAGUCUUGAGUACAGUAGAGGUGGGCGGAAUUCGUGGUGUAGCGGUGAAAUGCUUAGAUAUCACGAAGAACUCCGAUUGCGAAGGCAGCUCACUAGACUGUUACUGACACUGAUGCUCGAAAGUGUGGGUAUCAAACAGGAUUAGAUACCCUGGUAGUCCACACAGUAAACGAUGAAUACUCGCUGUUUGCGAUAUACAGUAAGCGGCCAAGCGAAAGCAUUAAGUAUUCCACCUGGGGAGUACGCCGGCAACGGUGAAACUCAAAGGAAUUGACGG